Molecule: ribosomal RNA, 457 nt
Filed under: uncultured bacterium
Lineage: Bacteria
Description: bacterial SSU rRNA
Rfam family: Bacterial small subunit ribosomal RNA
Source: RNAcentral
AUUGAACGCUGGCGGAAUGCUUUACACAUGCAAGUCGAACGGUAGAGGGGGCAACCCUUGAGAGCGGCGAACGGGUGAGUAACGCGUACGAAACCUACCUUUAAGAGAGGGAUAGCCCUGGGAAACUGGGAGUAAUACCUCAUAGUAUUCAAUAACCGCAUGGUUUAUGGAUUAAAGCUGCGGCGCUUAAAGAUGGUCGUGCGUCUGAUUAGCUAGUUGGUAGGGUAACGGCCUACCAAGGCGACGAUCGAUAGGUGGUCUGAGAGGACGAUCACCCAGACUGGGACUGAGACACGGCCCAGACUCCUACGGGAGGCAGCAGUCGGGAAUUUUGCGCAAUGGGGGAAACCCUGACGCAGCAAUACCGCGUGUGGGAUGAAGGCCUUCGGGUCGUAAACCACUUUUCUCGGGGACGAUAAUGACGGUACCCGAGGAAUAAGCCACGGCUAACUACGUG